AUCUCUACGAGAGGCUUAGGGUUCCAGUGGAUAACUU
Molecule: small RNA, 37 nt
Filed under: Arabidopsis thaliana (thale cress)
Lineage: Eukaryota; Viridiplantae; Streptophyta; Magnoliopsida; Brassicales; Brassicaceae
Description: ATSL125670
Source: RNAcentral